This 634-nucleotide ribosomal RNA is filed under the name Staphylococcus aureus. RNAcentral describes it as "bacterial SSU rRNA". It matches the Rfam family "Bacterial small subunit ribosomal RNA", at positions 196 to 818 of the family's 1533-position model. Lineage: Bacteria; Bacillati; Bacillota; Bacilli; Caryophanales; Staphylococcaceae. The record is from RNAcentral.
AAAAGUGAAAGACGGUCUUGCUGUCACUUAUAGAUGGAUCCGCGCUGCAUUAGCUAGUUGGUAAGGUAACGGCUUACCAAGGCAACGAUGCAUAGCCGACCUGAGAGGGUGAUCGGCCACACUGGAACUGAGACACGGUCCAGACUCCUACGGGAGGCAGCAGUAGGGAAUCUUCCGCAAUGGGCGAAAGCCUGACGGAGCAACGCCGCGUGAGUGAUGAAGGUCUUCGGAUCGUAAAACUCUGUUAUUAGGGAAGAACAUAUGUGUAAGUAACUGUGCACAUCUUGACGGUACCUAAUCAGAAAGCCACGGCUAACUACGUGCCAGCAGCCGCGGUAAUACGUAGGUGGCAAGCGUUAUCCGGAAUUAUUGGGCGUAAAGCGCGCGUAGGCGGUUUUUUAAGUCUGAUGUGAAAGCCCACGGCUCAACCGUGGAGGGUCAUUGGAAACUGGAAAACUUGAGUGCAGAAGAGGAAAGUGGAAUUCCAUGUGUAGCGGUGAAAUGCGCAGAGAUAUGGAGGAACACCAGUGGCGAAGGCGACUUUCUGGUCUGUAACUGACGCUGAUGUGCGAAAGCGUGGGGAUCAAACAGGAUUAGAUACCCUGGUAGUCCACGCCGUAAACGAUGAGUGCUA